GUAGGUGAACCUGCGGAAGGAUCAUUAUCACGUUAUCCACGUAUAAACCAUUGUGAACUGUACCCACCUUUGCAAUGCGGGAUUGGAGAGAGGAAUCUCUCUGAUUAUUCACCGUGUUGUAAAGCGUAUUUUCAAUCUAUUAACCAUUAUAACCCAAUCUUUAUAACAAUUAUGAACUAAACUUAUUUUAUACUCUUCGGAGAUAAAAUUCAUUACGAAACAAAAGAACAACUCUUAGCAACGGAUAUCU
RNAcentral lists this unclassified non-coding RNA (250 nucleotides) under plant metagenome. Its description in RNAcentral is "partial contains small subunit ribosomal RNA, internal transcribed spacer 1, and 5.8S ribosomal RNA". The record is from RNAcentral.